ACGGGUGAGUAACACGUAGGUAACCUGCCUAUGAGACUGGGAUAACUAUCGGAAACGAUGGCUAAGACCGGAUAACUGGUUUUCUCGCAUGAGAGAAUCAUGAAACACGGAGCAAUCUGUGGCUUAUAGAUGGGCCUGCGGCGCAUUAGCUAGUUGGUAGGGUAAUGGCCUACCAAGGCGACGAUGCGUAGCCGACCUGAGAGGGUGACCGGCCACACUGGGACUGAGACACGGCCCAGACUCCUACGGGAGGCAGCAGUAGGGAAUCUUCCGCAAUGGACGCAAGUCUGACGGAGCAACGCCGCGUGAGUGAUGAAGGUUUUCGGAUCGUAAAGCUCUGUUGCCCUAGACGAACAGCAAGGAGAGUAACUGCUCUUUGUGUGACGGUAUAGGAGAAGAAAGCCCCGGCUAACUACGUGCCAGCAGCCGCGGUAAUACGUAGGGGGCAAGCGUUGUCCGGAAUUAUUGGGCGUAAAGCGCGCGCAGGCGGUCAAUUAAGUUGGGUGUUUAAGCCCGGGGCUCAACCCCGGUUCGCAUCCAAAACUGGUUGACUUGAGUGUAGGAGAGGAAAGUGGAAUUCCACGUGUAGC
This 590-nucleotide ribosomal RNA is filed under the name uncultured bacterium. Its description in RNAcentral is "bacterial SSU rRNA". It matches the Rfam family "Bacterial small subunit ribosomal RNA", at positions 102 to 679 of the family's 1533-position model. The record is from RNAcentral.